UUUUAUUUCAUCUAUGAAACA
Molecule: non-coding RNA, 21 nt
Filed under: Caenorhabditis elegans
Lineage: Eukaryota; Metazoa; Nematoda; Chromadorea; Rhabditida; Rhabditidae
Source: RNAcentral